GGUUUUCUCCCAUUUGACUUGUAAUUGCACGCUUACGUCCACCUUCCAGAAAGUUGUGUACACACCUUAUAUUACCCAGCUCACCGAGGUAAAGAAGACCCUUCAUAUAUUGAAACUCCAAAAGCCUUGAUGAGGAUUGUCCAGGGAAAAGCAGCACUUUGGUGAGG
Lonchura striata (white-rumped munia) is the source of this 167-nucleotide non-coding RNA. NCBI's taxonomy places the organism in Eukaryota, Metazoa, Chordata, Aves, Passeriformes, Estrildidae. The record is from RefSeq and is a predicted model, not a curated record.